UUACGGCCACAUCACGUUGAAAUCCUGUUUCCCGUAGGAUCAUCGAAGUUAAGCAACAUGGAGUCUGGUCAGUACCUAGAUGGGUGACCGCUUGGGAAUAUGAAACGCUGU
Molecule: non-coding RNA, 111 nt
Organism: Acanthosepion pharaonis
Lineage: Eukaryota; Metazoa; Mollusca; Cephalopoda; Sepiida; Sepiidae
Source: the annotation of a GenBank genome assembly